AUGCUGCCAGGGAUUAUUUGGUCUCUUCAGAGGCUAUUUUUCAUAAAGCACACCUGUAAAGAAGCGAAGACCCUGGUUAUUUACAAUGGACACAGCAGCAGGUCCUGGCAUAGCAUCAUGUCUGGAGCUCCAGCCUUUGCUGCUGACUGCAAAAUAAGCACUCACUUUGGAAUGUUUUUCUCAUUUUGUAAAACAUCUUUGCCUAAAGAAAAUCAACAAACGAGUGACCCAGACAGUUGGGUUCGCUCACUCCAGCCUGGGAUGCUGAGGUCUGGCCUGGCUGUGCUGCUUCCCACAUUGAACACUGCUUGAAUGGAGUGGGGUACAGAACACCUCCAACCCAUACCCAAGCAUGGUGUGCAGGUGAAGGCUCCUCUCUCAGAAAGGCACCCGCUGUGCUGCCAGCUUGGAACGAGCAGCAGCCACUGAGCCAUGCUGCCCAUAUUUCCAGCAUUAAUCUCCUUGGCAUCCCUGCCCAAAACACAAACAUCUGUCCCACGUACCUCUUCUUGAACACCCGCCAUCAGCUGCUCCUCAGGCGGCCGCAUCUCUCCUGUCAGUCUGCAUUGCUCCCAAAGCUCACAGAUGCUCCUGGAGGUUCCUCCUCUCAACGGCAGCUUUUCCUACAAUGGCACCAACACAACAGACAGGUCGUCCUGAAAGCCCAGGGGCUGUAUCUGUGCAAGCACGUGGGACAUGCCCUGGACGGUUGUUUGGUGCUGAGGACAGCACUGAAGCACCGUGCAGUGCCAGCUCCGAGUCUCUCUGAGAGGAUCUUCCCAAAUUUCCUGGUCUUCACCAUCCUAAAGUUCUGCCUGUCUGGAAACCAGAGGUGUCUGCGAUGAAAGUGAGAAGGGGCAGAAGGAGAGAGGACAUUUUCCUUAGCCUAUUUUUUCCUAUAGACCUUGUUCUACCACAGAGAGCAGUUCUGGUGCGAUGAAAGAGAGCCUUACCUUGGGUGUUGUGUGGAUGCAUGGAUCAAUGAAUGGGUGGAGAGCAGGACAAAGAGCAAGCAAGAAAGGGUAGUUAUAAAAUAUUUAAAGGCUGUAAAUAUAAAACAAAGAGAAAGACAAGGAAAUAACCGUCUUUCUAGGGCCAUCUUUUUAUUUAGGCACCACACAAUGUAUACCAAUGCCUUCUGGCUGUGGGGACCCCCAGGCGAGUCUCAGCAGCUCUGGCCAGGCUCCUUGGCAGUCCCACCAAGAAACGCCCACUUCCAGCAGCCGAGCUGCUUGUGGCAUCCAGCCCAAGUGCAGGGAGGCUGGACAAAUACCACACAUUUUAGUUUACUUGAGUGGGCUAAUGCAGACAA
Molecule: long non-coding RNA, 1312 nt
Filed under: Anas platyrhynchos platyrhynchos (common mallard)
Lineage: Eukaryota; Metazoa; Chordata; Aves; Anseriformes; Anatidae
Description: lncRNA (ENSAPLG00000024337.1)
Source: RNAcentral